Molecule: ribosomal RNA, 237 nt
Filed under: uncultured Staphylococcus sp.
Lineage: Bacteria; Bacillati; Bacillota; Bacilli; Caryophanales; Staphylococcaceae
Description: partial 16S ribosomal RNA
Rfam family: Bacterial small subunit ribosomal RNA
Source: RNAcentral
CGGGUGAGUAACACGUGGAUAACCUACCUAUAAGACUGGGAUAACUUCGGGAAACCGGAGCUAAUACCGGAUAAUAUUUUGAACCGCAUGGUUCAAAAGUGAAAGACGGUCUUGCUGUCACUUAUAGAUGGAUCCGCGCUGCAUUAGCUAGUUGGUAAGGUAGCGGCUUACCAAGGCAACGAUGCAUAGCUGACCUGAGAGGGUGAUCGGCCACACUGGAACUGAGACACGGUCCAG